AGUUUCAAACCUUUAAUUCCGCCAUUUUGAUACCCCCAAUUUUUCAUUCUCCCUUUUAUUACCGCCCCCAAAUCCCUAUUCUUUAUUCUUUAUCAUCUUCCCUCUUUAGCCUGGUGCCAGUUGCCAGAACCGUCAAGAGAACAAGACGGGAAGGAGACUCCCUAUGGAGGUAGCCGCUUGGGAGUUUCCGGUUACCCAUAAAAAUUUGAAAGCAAUUUUAGGCACUAGUGGGUUUCAAGUUUAAUCAAAUCGGAGGUAAACUAUUUCUUUGUUUGAAAUCAAUUAUGAAGGUACGAGAGGUUGUUUCUGUGUGUUUUUAGUUUUUUCAUUUUGUAUUAAACGCCAUAUGUGCGUGUUAAUGUGUAUACUUCUUACACUCGGUUUGGGCGUAAAUUGUAAGUUUGGUAUGUUCAUAAUCAGACCAAUCGUGAUGAGAAGCGGUUGACGAAGAAGCAAAACUUACUACAAUGCAGCUUGUUUGGGGAUUUUAAAGUGCCUAAGCUUUCCGCUCCUUGUAUUAUUCACAGUUGUCUUCUCAUGGUAAAUAUUUCAUUUGAAUUUCCUACAUUUGUAAUUAUUGUAUCAAGAAAAUUUGACAUGUUUUUGUUUAUAAUGUACAAUUAAUGUAACACUACGGAAAAGUUUUAUUCCCUUGAAUUUUAAUAUGUUUUCAUGUACUCAUUAUUCAGUUAAUAAUAAUUUAUUCUAGUAUGCAGAUCAUCAUUAAUAUAACUUGGUUGCAGUCGCUAGAUACCUCAUUGUCACACAAAAUUGGAUAGAUCAUCAUUAUGGAGUUUUGAUUCUUUCAAACAAAUGAGAUGUUGUGGAGCCUGGGUUCUUUUAAAACCAUUCAUCCUUAGUAUUAAUGUUUUAUUAAGAGUGAUGUGCUAAUUUAUUAGUACCGGUGCAACGGGUCGAAGGAAUGAAUAACAAAGUUGGGUAGAAUGAAACAAGAGAGAAGUAUGCUAUGAUGGAGAAAAUUGAAGAAAAGUGAAGUUGCAUGCUUAAGUGAAUGAGAGAUUGUGAUUGUUGUUAAAUAGCAUUUGCCAUAAAAGUUUAUAGCAAGUUAAAAUAUGGUUUUAUGUUAGUAAACAAAUUAUUACGAAUAUUAAUUGUAUUGCUUUUAGAUAAUUUAUAUCUUUACUUUGUUACUGU
This 1155-nucleotide long non-coding RNA is filed under the name Helianthus annuus (common sunflower). RNAcentral's name for it is "hypothetical non coding rna". The record is from RNAcentral. Lineage: Eukaryota; Viridiplantae; Streptophyta; Magnoliopsida; Asterales; Asteraceae.